RNAcentral lists this ribosomal RNA (493 nucleotides) under uncultured bacterium. RNAcentral describes it as "partial 16S ribosomal RNA". It matches the Rfam family "Bacterial small subunit ribosomal RNA", at positions 29 to 523 of the family's 1533-position model. The record is from RNAcentral.
AUUGAACGCUGGCGGCAUGCUUUACACAUGCAAGUCGAACGGUAACAGGUUAAGCUGACGAGUGGCGAACGGGUGAGUAAUGCAUCGGAACGUGCUCGGUCGUGGGGGAUAACGCAGCGAAAGCUGCGCUAAUACCGCAUACGAUCUGAGGAUGAAAGCGGGGGACCGUAAGGCCUCGCGCGAUCGGAGCGGCCGAUGUCAGAUUAGGUAGUUGGUGGGGUAAAGGCCCACCAAGCCGACGAUCUGUAGCUGGUCUGAGAGGACGACCAGCCACACUGGGACGGAGACACGGGCCAGACUCCUACGGGAGGCAGCAGUGGGGAAUUGUGGACAAUGGGCGGAAGCCUGAUCCAGCAAUGCCGCGUGCAGGAAGAAGGCCUUCGGGUUGUAAACUGCUUUUGUACGGAGCGAAAAGGUCCUUUCUAAUACAAGGGGCUCAUGACGGUACCGUAAGAAUAAGCACCGGCUAACUACGUGCCAGCCGCCGCCGUAA